Molecule: small RNA, 161 nt
Filed under: Streptomyces pluripotens
Lineage: Bacteria; Bacillati; Actinomycetota; Actinomycetes; Kitasatosporales; Streptomycetaceae
Description: c-di-AMP sequence
Rfam family: c-di-AMP riboswitch aptamer (ydaO/yuaA leader)
About the family: This family represents a conserved RNA structure found upstream of the ydaO and yuaA genes in Bacillus subtilis and related genes in other bacteria. The ydaO/yuaA element is thought to act as a genetic "off" switch for the ydaO and yuaA genes in its native state. It is believed that the element may be triggered during osmotic shock leading to activation of ydaO, a predicted amino acid transporter gene, and members of the yuaA-yubG operon which code for KtrA and KtrB K+ transporters.
Source: RNAcentral
GGAGUCCCCACACUUGACCCGUGUUCGGCAGGAGCGGGGGACCCACCAGGUACGACUGCCUGUCCGGUCUCCGUGACAGGCCAGGGGUGCAGCCGCACACCGCGGCCGGGCAGCUCCAGCCCGAACCCGACAGCUGACCUCGCAGGCGCCGGAGAGGAAUG